UCCCUCAUGUAAACCAGCUAUGACUCUUGUAAAUCGACGACCAGUCUUGGUCAUCGAGAGGAAGUAAAAGUCGUAACACCGUUUCCGUAGUCGAACCUGCGGAAGGAUCAUUAUAGUAUACCUAUAGUUGGGAUGUAGGGUGUUUUAUCUAGAGCGUAGACGUAAAACUCUAUUGCUUAAGUAGGCAUCCUCCCCGCCAAACCUUGUAAAUAUAAACUUAAUUGUUACCUUGGUAGGAUUACCUGCCUGUGGACAACUAUAAACUCUUUUAAAAAUUGGCUGAAACUAUUGUAACUGUCUGAAAUAUUGUUAAUAUUAAAACUUUCAACAACGGAUCUCUUGGUUCUGGCAUCGAUGAAGAACGCAGCGAAAUGCGAUAAGUAGUGUGAAUUGCAGAAUUCAGUGAAUCAUCGAAUCUUUGAACGCACAUUGCGCCCCUCGGUAUCCCGGGGGGCAUGCCUGUUCGAGCGUCAUUUCUACCACUCAAGCUUAGCUUGGUAUUGGGAAUCGUUGCUCCUUUUUAAGAAAGGAUUUAACGUGCCUUAAAUGUAGACGGCGGCAAACACUAGUUCCGAGCGUAGCAGUAAAACAUUUCGCUUUUGGAGUCUAGAGUAUUGUCUACCGUAUAGUUUUACUACAGUUUGACCUCGGAUCACGCAGGGAUACCCGCUCAACUUAAGCAUAUCAAUCAUUCAAUGAGUCUUAUCUGUUUCCAGAGUCGUCGCUGUUCCAACGGAAGA
This 740-nucleotide ribosomal RNA is filed under the name Slimacomyces isiola. RNAcentral's name for it is "eukaryotic LSU rRNA". The stretch from base 320 to 473 matches the Rfam family "5.8S ribosomal RNA". The record is from RNAcentral. Lineage: Eukaryota; Fungi; Ascomycota.